GAUGAACGCUGGCGGCGCGCCUAACACAUGCAAGUCGAACGAUUAAAGCACCUUCGGGUGUGUAUAAAGUGGCGAACGGCUGAGUAACACGUGGGCAACCUGCCCCUUUCAUUGGGAUAGCCACGGGAAACCGUGGAUAAUACCGAAUACUUCGAGACUUCCGCAUGGAAGACUCGAGAAAGCUCCGGCGGUGAGGGAUGGGCCCGCGGCCUGUUAGCUUGUUGGUGGGGUAACGGCCUACCAAGGCAAUGAUGGGUAGCUGGGUUGAGAGACCGACCAGCCAGAUUGGGCCUGAGACACGGCCCAGAAUCCUACGGGAGGCAGCAGUGGGGAAUCUUGCACAAUGGGCGAAAGCCUGAUGCAGAGACGCCGCGUGCGGGAUGAAGGCCUUCGGGUUGUAAACCGAUUUCAGCAGGGACGAGGCGAAAGUGACGGUACCUGAAGAAGAAGCCCCGGCUAACUACGUG
RNAcentral lists this ribosomal RNA (467 nucleotides) under uncultured bacterium. Its description in RNAcentral is "partial 16S ribosomal RNA". It matches the Rfam family "Bacterial small subunit ribosomal RNA", at positions 28 to 507 of the family's 1533-position model. The record is from RNAcentral.